AUGGCUCAGAUUGAACGCUGGCGGCAUGCUUUACACAUGCAAGUCGAACGGCUUAGGGCUUGCUCCUAAGUUAGUGGCGAACGGGUGAGUAAUACAUCGGAACGUACCGUGUAGUGGGGAUAACGUAGCGAAAGUUACGCUAAUACCGCAUACGAUCUACGGAUGAAAGUGGGGGACCUUCGGGCCUCACGCUAUACGAGCGGCCGAUGUCUGAUUAGCUAGUUGGUGAGGUAAAGGCUCACCAAGGCAACGAUCAGUAGCGGGUCUGAGAGGAUGAUCCGCCACACUGGGACUGAGACACGGCCCAGACUCCUACGGGAGGCAGCAGUGGGAAUUUUGGACAAUGGGCGAAAGCCUGAUCCAGCCAUGCCGCGUGUCUGAAGAAGGCCUUCGGGUUGUAAAGGACUUUUGUCAGGGAGCAAAACUUAGAGGUUAAUAACCUUUGAGGUUGAGAGUACCUGAAGAAUAAGCACCGGCUAACUACGUG
This 487-nucleotide ribosomal RNA is filed under the name uncultured bacterium. Its description in RNAcentral is "bacterial SSU rRNA". It matches the Rfam family "Bacterial small subunit ribosomal RNA", at positions 19 to 507 of the family's 1533-position model. The record is from RNAcentral.